CUUUGAAAUUAAUAUGAGUGAUGUAACAAUAAGUCCCAAAAACAACACGUACUAUUUUCCGAUUUAUUUAUUUUAAAUUCUUACAGUUGAGGUACACAGGUCACAGAUAUUCAGAAGUUAAAGGUACAUAAUAAUACGAUUGGAUAUAUUAAUAUAAUAAUAAGUAAAAUGAUACGAUACACAAUAGUAAUAUUAAUCAACAAAUAACCGUUCUACAAGCAACUACAUAAGACAAAUAUGUUAUGAUAAAAAAAAAUGUCUAUUCAGCGUCUGCUCUACUACAGUGUGAUUGGUUUACUUAUAAUCUACACUAUACAGAGUAUAUUGUUUAUAAUCCCAACCCCUACGAAUAUUGUCCAAAAUACAAUUUAUUAAUGACAAUGAUAUAGUGUAGAACCUCGAUUAUCCGAACUAAUUGGGACUACACCUAGUUUGAAUAAGUGAAAG
Cinara cedri is the source of this 447-nucleotide non-coding RNA. Lineage: Eukaryota; Metazoa; Arthropoda; Insecta; Hemiptera; Aphididae. The record is from the annotation of a GenBank genome assembly.